This 642-nucleotide ribosomal RNA is filed under the name uncultured Bacteroidota bacterium. RNAcentral's name for it is "bacterial SSU rRNA". It matches the Rfam family "Bacterial small subunit ribosomal RNA", at positions 28 to 658 of the family's 1533-position model. Lineage: Bacteria; Pseudomonadati; Bacteroidota. The record is from RNAcentral.
GAUGAACGCUAGCGGCAGGCUUAACACAUGCAAGUUGAGGGGCAGCAUAAACAAUAGCAAUAUUGUUUGAUGGCGACCAGCGCACGGGUGCGUAACACGUAUGCAAUCUACCUUGUACUGGGGCAUAACUCCGAGAAAUCGAAGCUAAUUCCCCAUAACACCACAGAAUGGCAUCAUUCAAUGGUUAAAGUUCAGGCGGUACAAGAUGAGCAUGCGCCCAAUUAGUUAGUUGGUGAGGUAAUGGCUCACCAAGACUACGAUUGGUAGGGGGUCUGAGAGGAUGAUCCCCCACACUGGUACUGAGACACGGACCAGACUCCUACGGGAGGCAGCAGUGAGGAAUAUUGCGCAAUGGAGGAAACUCUGACGCAGCCAUGCCGCGUGAAGGAUUGAAGGCGCUAUGCGUUGUAAACUUCUUUUGUACGGGAAUAAACGCUUCUAUGUAUAGGAGCCUGAAGGUACCGUAAGAAUAAGCACCGGCUAACUCCGUGCCAGCAGCCGCGGUAAUACGGAGGGUGCAAGCGUUAUCCGGAUUUAUUGGGUUUAAAGGGUCCGUAGGCGGACUGUUAAGUCAGCGGUGAAAGCCCACAGCUCAACUGUGGAACUGCCGUUGAUACUGCCAGUCUUGAGUGCAAAUGAUGU